UACGUAGGGCGCAAGCGUUGUCCGGAAUUAUUGGGCGUAAAGAGCUCGUAGGCGGCUUGUCACGUCGAUUGUGAAAGCCCGAGGCUUAACCUCGGGUCUGCAGUCAAUACGGGCUAGCUAGAGUGUGGUAGGGGAGAUCGGAAUUCCUGGUGUAGCGGUGAAAUGCGCAGAUAUCAGGAGGAACACCGGUGGCGAAGGCGGAUCUCUGGGCCAUUACUGACGCUGAGGAGCGAAAGCGUGGGGAGCGAACAGG
This 253-nucleotide ribosomal RNA is filed under the name uncultured bacterium. RNAcentral's name for it is "partial 16S ribosomal RNA". It matches the Rfam family "Bacterial small subunit ribosomal RNA", at positions 524 to 776 of the family's 1533-position model. The record is from RNAcentral.